ACUUUCAUGUCAACCAUACAAGUUUGAAAAGGAAAUGAAAAAAAAAAUGGAAAUAAACAUGUUAGCCCUCACACUUCAUUGUAUUAAUGCCAUGUUAGUUCUAUAGCACCAAAAUGUCAAGCAUUAUGAGAUUCAAGGUUGUUAAAGGCAUGCUUCAGACUCAAGGCUCCAACCCUAAUGCCUCCAAUAUUUAACAGACACUCACCUCAUAUGCCUAGGCGCAUGCCUUGUUCUAGGCGCAAGGCUCUAGAAAAGGCAAGCUUUCUUUAUUUCCACCACCUGCAAGCACUUCUUGAUGUGGAACCUCAGUUGCUAAAAGACAAUAGCACUAGAUUCAAAUUUGUCAAUAUACUAGUCUAGUGUUGACACACUAGGAAGUCAUCAGAAUUAGAGUCUUGAUGAUAAAAAGUUAUUGGCAUCUCAUUAAAACUACCACUUAGGAUUAUGGACCGCAUAUGUUUCCAUUUUCAACACUCAUGCUCCUUUAAUCCCUCUCCUCAUACAUUGUUUCAAUUUUCUCUCAUCAUCUCUCCCAUCUUUAAUGCUUGUUGGAUUCCUCUGUUUCUUGUUUAUGUGAAAUUGUCCUCUUUCUUUUUUAAC
This 600-nucleotide unclassified non-coding RNA is filed under the name Hevea brasiliensis (rubber tree). Lineage: Eukaryota; Viridiplantae; Streptophyta; Magnoliopsida; Malpighiales; Euphorbiaceae. The record is from RNAcentral.